Molecule: long non-coding RNA, 118 nt
Organism: Mastomys coucha (southern multimammate mouse)
Lineage: Eukaryota; Metazoa; Chordata; Mammalia; Rodentia; Muridae
Exons: 2
Source: RefSeq, a predicted model, not a curated record
UGACUCUUUACACCUGACCAGUGCUCUUACGUGGCUUGCACAUUCAGAUGCACAUGAAAACCACUGCAGCUGCAGAGCUAACUGUGUAAGUGACUGCAAAGAUCUACAUAUUAAUGUA